This 2595-nucleotide long non-coding RNA is filed under the name Sparus aurata (gilthead seabream). RNAcentral describes it as "lncRNA (ENSSAUG00010003406.1)". The record is from RNAcentral. Lineage: Eukaryota; Metazoa; Chordata; Actinopteri; Spariformes; Sparidae.
UUUUAUGGAGAGCAACUUCUGAAGACGCGAGAGGGAGAAAGAGAGAUUACAAUCUGUUUUGACGUGGAGUCCGCUUCUUCUUCACCAUUCCUCCCAGUGACACACACACACACACACACACACACACACACACAGAGAGAGAGAGAGAGAGAGAGAGAGAGAGAGAGAGAGAGAGAGAGAGAGAGUGGGAGUUUCGGGCCUCUUUCUGUUCUGUAAAACUUUAUAGCGAGCUGGGGCCCAGUUGUCAUGGUAACGGGUUAUACGAGCUUGACCGGGGGUGUUGAUGGGUGGAGGGAGGGGGGUCCACCAUUUGCAGUUUGAGUUGUGUGUGUCGGCAACUCUUCUUCUGUUUAUAAUUAUGUGAAAGUGGGGGAGAGAGAGAUCGUGUGUGUGUGUGUGUGUGUGUGUGUGUGUGUGAGAGAGAGAGAGAGGACAUGUGUCAAAGGGAGAGAUCAUUGGAAUGUCACUUUUGAAAGCAGAAUACUCCUCUCCAUAGCUUCUUGCACACACACUCUCUCUCUAUCGCACACACACACACACACACACACACACACACACACACACACACACACACACACACACACACAGCCCGGGCCAGUAAACCCCCCGCUCCUGGAGGUUGCUCACUGCCGUGCUUCCUGCGUCCGUUCCUGCGCCCGAUGAGCCCGGUCAGAGCUUCCCCGGACCGCGCGGUUGACUGUGCUUGGUUGUCGGCCCGAGCCCACCAGAGAAAGGCGCUCCUCUGUAGCGUGAACCUGACCCGACAGCGCCGCCUGGAGAUCCGCUGGAGCGUCUACCUGACUGACAGGUGAAGAAAUCUGGUUCCAGAAUCGAAGGGUGAGGGCAAGGAAGCAGCGUCACCUCAGCAUCUGGACUGAUAAAGAUGACCCUCCACCUCAGACUGCAUGACGCUGGCACCCGGGGAGGAUGAAGAAGACGAGGGUGCGAGAUACAUCUAACUGAACGUGCAAUGUUUGUACAUGCAGUUUUACAAAACUUUCACACGCUGGACGCACACACACACACACACACACACACACACACACACAAAACUCGAGUUCACUCCUGUGUGCGUUGUUGGAUUAUUAGCAGAUCAACACCAAACAAGUAAUCUGGACUCCUGCACUGAACUGAGGUGGCCUAUUAUCGGAAGGAUUCAAGUCUGGGCUGAUGAGCCGCACUUAAUCGUCCAGGAGGAGGAGACGACCUCAGAAGAAAGACUGGACGGGCUGGAUAUACUGGCAGGCAGCUCGGUCUCAUCCUCUCUGUCGUCAGCUGGCUAAAUGCAACACUCGGAGCAGUUAUGUUGCAUGAGAAGCGACCCACGGGGCUUCUAUGUGAAGCUUUGAUCAGGAACAUAUGGCUGAACUUCCUCUGCUGCUGCAAUGGCCAGCUGCUGUCUGUUAGGAGAGGAGAAGAGAGGAGGAAAAGAAAGACACUGGAAUAAAGGAAUGCAAUGCUGACUGUAACUCUGCAGAGAGAAAAUAGAGCCAAUAAAAAGAGUAGAGUGGGACAGGCAGGAGGAAACAGAAGUAAACAAGUAGAGUAAAUGGAAGAAGAGAAUAAAUAAGGAAGGAGUAGGGACAGCCUCAGGUCUGCAGGCGCCAUGUUGAGACAGCAGCAUUUCUGCAGCGCCACACUGUCUCCUGCCUCAUCGCUGUCCCUUCUGCCUCUCUGUCCAUCUGCAAGCCUCUUUCCGUUUCCCAUCUGUCUCCCUCUCCCACCUUUACUUUUUACCACGGGGGUAAUUGACCAACUCGUUUAUUGGUGGCUAGAGGACGUGGAGGAGGCAGUUGUACUAGUGGUAUAUAUUACUGUAUAGUGUGGUUUUACGGCUGCCUUAUUGCCCCUUAUUGCCUGUUGAUAGUCAACAAAAGACACUCCAAAGAACGGUUUGUGCCUCCUGGAAAGUCUGCCUUCUUUAUUGUCCUUCCUGUCUGUCUCAUUGCCUUUAAUGGUCAGCUUUGUCUCUUGCAUCCACAUUGCUGAGACUAAACAGAUACAACUUCUUCUCUCUUUUUCACAGAGGGGCUCAUCAAUGAAACUAUGCCCUGAAAUUAAAUAAAAUUCUUCUUUUUUAAUUGACCUCAGGUGUCACUGCUUCUUCACAGAGUUCAUCAUGUAUCAUCAUUUUGCUGCUUCACAUGAAGCAACAGGAAGAGAGCGAGAGGUUUUCCAAACUCCUUUUUGCAUCAGGGUCACACAGUUGGAUAUUCAUUAAGCCAAGCAGGAGCCUGGUGCUGAAGGGAUUUUACUUGUUAGAUAUGAUUUACUGCAGCAGCCUGACCUCCUGCUGCUGGAUUCAGUCAAAUGCUCUCUAAUCAUUUGAUUACAACCAGAGGACGGCAAUACCCGUCUUGCAACAGUCAAAAACCUAUUGUUCUUGUGUUACAGUUAAACUAUACUUCAAUAAAAACAGCAUUUGCAUUUGUCAAACUUAAAGAUGACUCUUAGCAUUUAUGAUUCUGUGCCAUAAAUGUGAACAAGUUUGGGGGGAUAACAGAGAAUUAGGUGGUAAACACCAAAUUUAUAGAACUACAAAUAUGUGCUAAUGUAUCUGUAAAGUCAUAAACAUGAGACAAAAUAAAAGUAAAC